UACGGAGGGGGCUAGCGUUGUUCGGAAUUACUGGGCGUAAAGCGCGCGUAGGCGGCUUUGUAAGUUAGAGGUGAAAGCCCGGAGCUCAACUCCGGAACUGCCUUUAAGACUGCAUCGCUAGAAUUGUGGAGAGGUGAGUGGAAUUCCGAGUGUAGAGGUGAAAUUCGUAGGUAUUAGGAAGAACACCAGUGGCGAAGGCGGCUCACUGGCUCGGUACUGACGCUGAGGCGCGAAAGCGUGGGGAGCAAACAGG
RNAcentral lists this ribosomal RNA (253 nucleotides) under uncultured bacterium. Its description in RNAcentral is "partial 16S ribosomal RNA". It matches the Rfam family "Bacterial small subunit ribosomal RNA", at positions 524 to 776 of the family's 1533-position model. The record is from RNAcentral.